UUCCUUGGUGUUGGUGGUGGACACAUAAAAUUCACCUUAAUUCUACAUUUAUCAUGUGUUGGUGUCUUGCAUCCUUUAGCUAAUUCCACCACUUUAUUAUCACUCUUCACCAUAUUCGUAUAACAAUGUAGGUACCUGUGCAGAUGACACGUCAAUAUCUCCUAAAAACAGUUUACUAUAACAACGGUCGUAACUAUAAACAGACUUAUGAGUUGGGUAGAUGCCUGCUUAGAUGAAGAGUCGAGCUUUCUGAGAAACUAGGAAGUUUCAAGUUUCAACCUCACUUUAUACAAACCUAUUAGUUAUAUAGGUACCUGUUCACAUAAAGAGUCACGUUUUCUGAGAAAUUAGGAAGUUUCAACCUUGU
Molecule: long non-coding RNA, 367 nt
Filed under: Capsicum annuum
Lineage: Eukaryota; Viridiplantae; Streptophyta; Magnoliopsida; Solanales; Solanaceae
Description: long non-coding RNA (CANN_LNC008892)
Source: RNAcentral